UCUCCUAUAGCAUUCGUCUCAUAAAAUUUUGGUAGUAAAGAUCAUUAAAUUUUCAAGAUUCAGUUCUCCUUCCGAUGGGUUUCCCAUUUAAUGUUAGAUAUUGAGUUAACAUUUGGGAGUUCUUCUGUUGCCAAGGAAACCAUUGGCAUCAUGACGAGUAUGGACAUGCCGCUAGCACGGUGAAACUUGUCCAGACACGCAAAGCUGCUUCUCCCCAUUACGGGCACCCAUGUGGAAGAUAAAUAUCAUCUACUGAUUCGACGCGCGUGGAGUCCAAUUCGAGGAGCAAAGGCGUCACGAGUUAGAGAAUUAGCCUGUUCGAUGUGAGUAAUGGUUGUAAAUGAUGUCCUGAGGAUUUGAAACCUCGAAUUGCACAUCGUAGUGC
This is a non-coding RNA of Nicotiana tabacum (common tobacco), 385 nucleotides long. The record is from RefSeq and is a predicted model, not a curated record. NCBI's taxonomy places the organism in Eukaryota, Viridiplantae, Streptophyta, Magnoliopsida, Solanales, Solanaceae.